Molecule: non-coding RNA, 126 nt
Organism: Triticum aestivum (bread wheat)
Lineage: Eukaryota; Viridiplantae; Streptophyta; Magnoliopsida; Poales; Poaceae
Source: Rfam
UUAGUACUCCCUCCGUCCGGAAUUACUUGUCAUCAAAAUGGAUGAAAAUGGAUGUAUCUAGAACUAAAAUAACAUCUAGAUACAUCCAUUUCAAUGACAAGUAUUUCCGGAUGGAGGGAGUAAGAG